RNAcentral lists this ribosomal RNA (668 nucleotides) under uncultured Hyphomonadaceae bacterium. Its description in RNAcentral is "bacterial SSU rRNA". It matches the Rfam family "Bacterial small subunit ribosomal RNA", at positions 95 to 798 of the family's 1533-position model. The record is from RNAcentral. Lineage: Bacteria; Pseudomonadati; Pseudomonadota; Alphaproteobacteria; Hyphomonadales; Hyphomonadaceae.
GUGGCAGACGGGUGAGUAACGCGUGGGAACGUACCUUUCACUACGGAAUAGCUCUGGGAAACUGGUGGUAAUACCGUAUACGCCCUCCGGGGGAAAGAUUUAUCGGUGAAAGAUCGGCCCGCGUUGGAUUAGCUAGUUGGUGAGGUAAUGGCUCACAAAGGCGACGAUCCAUAGCUGGUCUGAGAGGAUGAUCAGCCACACUGGGACUGAGACACGGCCCAGACUCCUACGGGAGGCAGCAGUGGGGAAUCUUGCACAAUGGGCGAAAGCCUGAUGCAGCCAUGCCGCGUGAAUGAUGAAGGCCUUAGGGUUGUAAAAUUCUUUCGUCAGGGAUGAUAAUGACCGUACCUGAAGAAGAAGCCCCGGCUAACUUCGUGCCAGCAGCCGCGGUAAUACGAAGGGGGCUAGCGUUGUUCGGAAUUACUGGGCGUAAAGCGCACGUAGGCGGACUUUUAAGUCAGGUGUGAAAUCCCGGGGCUCAACCUCGGAACUGCAUUUGAAACUGGAAGUCUGGAGAUCAGGAGAGGUUAGCGGAAUACCGAGUGUAGAGGUGAAAUUCGUAGGUAUUCGGUGGAACACCAGUGGCGAAGGCGGCUAACUGGACUGAUACUGACGCUGAGGUGCGAAAGUGUGGGGAGCAAACAGGAUUAGAUACCCUGGUAGUCCAC